This 253-nucleotide ribosomal RNA is filed under the name uncultured bacterium. Its description in RNAcentral is "partial 16S ribosomal RNA". It matches the Rfam family "Bacterial small subunit ribosomal RNA", at positions 524 to 776 of the family's 1533-position model. The record is from RNAcentral.
UACGUAGGGUGCGAGCGUUGUCCGGAAUUAUUGGGCGUAAAGGGCUCGUAGGCGGUCUGUCACGUCGGGAGUGAAAACUCAGGGCUUAACCCUGAGCCUGCUUCCGAUACGGGCAGACUAGAGGUAUGCAGGGGAGAACGGAAUUCCUGGUGUAGCGGUGAAAUGCGCAGAUAUCAGGAGGAACACCAGUGGCGAAGGCGGCUUCCUGGACACCAACUGACGCUGAGACGCGAAAGCGUGGGGAGCAAACAGG